RNAcentral lists this long non-coding RNA (421 nucleotides) under Vigna radiata. RNAcentral's name for it is "long non-coding RNA (VRAD_LNC003034)". The record is from RNAcentral. Lineage: Eukaryota; Viridiplantae; Streptophyta; Magnoliopsida; Fabales; Fabaceae.
UCUCAUCUACCUCUAGUAGCACACAAUUUGACUUUGCUUUUCAUUUCAAGAACCAAGAAUUAUCAAAGCAUACAAACACAACAAGGACUUUAUUUAAUGUUGGGACAAGGCAAAGAAGGAAAUUGGAGUAUCUAGAUAGUAUGAAUUAUCAUGUAGAGCAAUCACAUCAAUUUCAUAAUCUUAUCAUUCUACUCUCUUUUACUUGAAAAAUAGAACAACCAAACACCAACUUGCAGUCACCCUAUUCAUAUCUUUUCUUUUUCUUUUUCUUUUUCUAUUUGUUUUUCUUUUAUAGAUGACAUAUAUACAAGAAUGCAUCACAUCAAUCAACACCGAUUCGCAAUUGUUACUCAUGUUCCUCUUCUAAAAAUAACUUCCCCCACACUUGAGUCACACUACUGACCAUGAACUUAACUUUUCC